Molecule: ribosomal RNA, 594 nt
Filed under: uncultured fungus
Lineage: Eukaryota; Fungi
Description: eukaryotic LSU rRNA
Rfam family: Eukaryotic large subunit ribosomal RNA
Source: RNAcentral
AUAUCAAUAAGCGGAGGAAAAGAAACUAACAAGGAUUCCCCUAGUAACGGCGAGUGAAGCGGGAACAGCUCAAAUUUGAAACCUGGCGUCCUUAGGGCGUCCGGAUUGUAUUCUAGAGAAGCGUCUUCCACGCUGGUCCACGUAUAAGUGCCCUGGAACGGGCUGUCAUAGAGGGUGAGAAUCCCGUCCUUGACGUGGGCUACCAGUGUUUUUGUGAUGCGCUUUCUAAGAGUCGAGUUGUUUGGGAAUGCAGCUCAAAGUGGGUGGUAAAUUCCAUCUAAAGCUAAAUAUUGGCCUGAGACCGAUAGCGAACAAGUACCGUGAGGGAAAGAUGAAAAGCACUUUGAAAAGAGAGUCAAACAGUACGUGAAAUUGCUGAAAGGGAAACGCUUGAAGUCAGUCGCGCCCCCUGGAAUUCAGCCCUGCUUUUGUAGGGUGUACUUUCCAGGGGGCGGGCCAACAUCAGUUUUGACCGGCAGAUAAAGGCUGGGGGAAUGUGGCUCCUUCGGGAGUGUUAUAGCCCUGGGUGCAAUGCCCUCGCGGGGACCGAGGUUCGCGCAUCUGCAAGGAUGCUGGCGUAAUGGUCAUCAGCGA